Long non-coding RNA from Capsicum annuum, 4894 nucleotides. RefSeq lists it as uncharacterized. The transcript has 2 exons. The record is from RefSeq and is a predicted model, not a curated record. Lineage: Eukaryota; Viridiplantae; Streptophyta; Magnoliopsida; Solanales; Solanaceae.
UAAAGUAGUAAGUGCAAUAACAUAAGAACAAACACAUGACGUGAUAAACCCAUAAACCGAAUAUAAAACCAAACUACACAAUCUUGUUUGUAGCCUCAGCACAAGAAUAAGGAUUUCUUAGCCACUCAUUAUCUUACAUGAAAAUCAUAAGACAACAAUUAAACAGUAAAUUUAAGAGAGUUUAAAGUUACAAAACAAGAACCCUUGUUCUAGCCUACUUGAGGUGGUGUUUUCUCCCAAGCCUUGUGUUGUGUUGUGAAUUCGUGUGGUUUUGUUCCCCAACGCAAACCAAGUAGAAAACCAAGUGUUAGCCUCCUUGAAUGUAUUUUUCUCCCAAGCUUGUGUUGUUUGUGUUGUGUGUUGUGAUUUUGUGUUGUGGACUGCCACAAAGUUUUCUCUUCCUCUUUGCUGUGUGUUUAGGUGUUUAUAUUGCCCCCGAGUCGUGAUAACCAAGUCCCAAAAGGAUUAGGUCAAGCUUGUUUCCCACUCAAACUAGGACUAGGAACCACUUUUUCCCCAAAGGAUCAGGGGUUGCGCAUCGCGGAGGCCGAAGCUGUCUGUGGGGGGCGCGUGGCAUGGCUACUUUUGAUGCCAAUCCAGUGGCCAACCUGAAAAGGUGGUGCGUGGCCUAGCUGAAUGCAGGGUGGAAGCGCGCGGCGCGGAAAAAGCUGCAAAACAACAGGAUUUCGCCCGGUUUUCACUCUAUGCUUCCCGUCAAGAGUGCUUCUUGUUUCCCCACCCACUGUGGUUAAUGUGCAGCUUCAUUUAUCACCUAAAGCAGCUCCAGUGGUCUCCAACAACAGCUCAUAACAUACAUUAAGCCAUAUAAUACAAUAAAGCUCAUCAAAAGCAUACUAGAACAAGCAUAGCUUAGGCCGGCUUGACUAGUUAUCUUGUCUAAUCCUUAUUUGAUCAUUUUGGCUCUUGUUUUGGGUCAAUUACACCUAAAACCACAGGAACAUGAGGCUUAGCACCUGUUUAUACAAUUAUCACUAAAUACACACAUAAACACACUAAGUUAUCCUCAAAACUAAGCUAAACACGUGUAGAUAAUGGCACUUAGGUGUAUAAAUACGCCUAAGAUCACUUUGCACCAAGAUGAGAAGGAUAUAAGAGAAGGAAUUGUCCAGUACUAUUUUGACAGAGGCUGUAAACUAGCACGCAGGUGAAGUGCCACUUGUAGAUUGAUUUCUCAAGUCAAUCUGGAUGAUAGGAGACGUCUGCAAAAACCAUUUAGAUUGGACGAAGAGUGGAAGAGGUGGAUGCAAUAAAGAGUUAUGUUGGGAGAUGAGACACUGGGAUCAGAUGUUUCUAGGACGGUACUUUUCCACCAUUGUUGGGAAGUACUGAGAAUACUUUCUACUUGUUUAUAGUAAACAAAAGAAGACCCGAACAUGGGACAGAGGGGACUAUGGCCUAUUGUUUAAUAGGAAGCAUGUACUACGGUUAGUCAUGGUACUAUCGGUGAGAUUAAAAUCUGUUGUUGGCUAAUUAAUGUUCACGUUUAAAAAUGUUUAAUUAAAGUGAAUUAUUGGAUAGUUAAUAACCACAUUUUAGAAUGUGUGAUUAUAGUCAGUUGUUGGCUAGUCAGUUUACACAUUUUAGAAUGUUUUUGUUGAAAGGAAGAUCCUCGUUAAUUCCUGAUAGCUAAUGAGUGAGUAUUGAACCGAACUUGGUAUGUAAGCCCAAUGUUACUAAGGGCUUACCAAAUGUAGAUUAAGAUUUUCUGAUGUAUUUACUUGACAAUUUGGAUUUGGGGAAUGAUGAAGUAAUUGGAUUCAAUGCCGUAUUACCAUAAUGAGGUUCUCAGUAAUUUAUAGACCCAUAGUCCCUUAUAUGGUGGUACUACAGGUAUUAGGUAGGACUCCGUUAUUCUUGCUGUCAUUCGCUUUGGUGUGGAAUCUUAUGUAGAUUAGUGGAUGAAAUUGGAGCAAGUGGAUUUGCAAGGGUUUUAGAGUGUGUGAGAUUGGCUCAAGUCCUUGAUGUUAUGACUCACGAGUGUUUACCAUCUCAAAUAUUUGGAUUGUGGUUUUAAAUGAGAUCAUCUUCAGUAAUUAGUCCGAGAAGAGCCAUUCAAGACCUGAAUGAGAAGAGAUGCGUGAAUUAUGCAAAAGCUUUAUUGUUCCACGAGAAUGGAGAUGAAGAGCGUAGAAAAAAGUCGAGUACGUAGUAUCAGGGGUGACAUGAAAGCAGCAUUGAAAGUGCCUGCUAUGGGUGCAAAAUCCAAUCACAUCAAGAAAGUAAAAUGAACUGUUAUGAGUUAGCUUCGCAUGUCCAAAGAGAUUGAAAAGAUUUAAAUGACUUGUUAUCAUGCUGUAGAUUGGCAGUACUGUUUCCUCUACUUGACAUUCAUAUAGGGGAGUUAGCAACUAUAACAAGUUUGAGGGUAUGUAGUAUGAGGGGUGAGAUGAAGGCAGAAUUGAAAGUGUCUGCUAUGCCUUCUAGGAAGAAUUAGAAAGAUAUUAACAGGAGGAUAUUUCAAGGCCACGUUUUUUGUCUAAUUUAUAUUGCGUCUUAUCGAGGAUAUGGCCUUAGAUAGGAGGUUGUAGAGGACACGGAUUAGGGUAGAAGGUUUGUAGAUAGUAGGGCGUUGUCUUGCCUAUCAUUCCAUAUUGGUAGUCUUAGUAUUUCUCCUGUAGUUUCUUGUCCUUUGAUUUUUAUACUAUCUACUAUCUCUUAUACUUUUAUUGUUGCUCUACUUUGUUGCAGUUAUUGUUUUUUUUCCAGAAUGCUUUGUCAUGAUUUCUAUUGUAUUUUGCCAUGAUUUCUUCACUUCAGUUAUUUCUCUUUUGAUCUUCUUUGAUUUGCUUUUUCUUGAGCUAGGGGUCUAUCAGAAAUAUCCUCUUUUUCUUGAGCUAGUGGUCUAUCGGAAAUAGCCUCUAUACCUCCCAAAGUUGGGUAAGGUCUGUGUAGACUCUACUCUUCCGGACCCCCCUCGUGGGAUUUCACUGAUCCCGCUUGUGGGAUUACACUGGGCAUGUUCUUUUGGUUGGAAAUUCAGAUUUCAGUUAUUGUUAAUUGCAAAAAUAUUUAGGUUGCUCUGCACCUGUAAUGUCAAGGUCUUUUCAAUUGCCUGUGCAUUCUUGAAUUUGUGAUCUAUACUCUAAUGUUUAUUUAUCUUUGAGAGCGGUGAUGUGACUGAAGCAUUGGGGGUGAAAAAGGAGAGGUAUAUAGUGAGAAAAGAAAAGAAAUCAAGGAGAAAUAUAGCUUGAUAAAGUUGUCAAAAAAAUCUCAAAAGCAGCAUCCACCUAUCUCCAUCAAGUGAGAAUGACUAGGGAACCUCUUUAAUGCAGAUGUCAUGAUGAGACUUUGAUGGAAAUAAGUUCCUUGCCCCUUACUCUUUAUCAAAAAUAAAAAAUUAAAAAUGGUUCAUUGCCCUUUGCUCAUCUUUGGUUUCUUCUUACGACCUGUAACCUACUCAUCUACCGGAAAGAUCCCCAGGUGUUAGUUUCAAACUUGUAUGAUCCUCACAAAAAUGAGUUGAUCAUUUUAUUUUUUGGGUUAAGUCGUAUUUACUGGGGAAGGCACCAAGAAGGUGCAGAAUAGUUAUACCUCCUAUUACAAAUGAAAGGAGUUGAGAAAACUUUGGCAAAGCUUCUACUUCACGUAAACUCGAGCAUGUUGCACAAAAAAGCCAAAAAAUAAAUAAAAUACAAACAUUUCUAUCUGAUUCUAUGUAUUGGUCCACUUCUCCUCUUUUCACAUUAGGUGCCGCAUCCUUGUCAACACAACGUGGGUGUGGGAUUUGUACUGAAUACGGAAAUUCUAGACAAUAACAAUGAUUUCUGAAUCAAAACAAAAGUUAGGGUAAAUUCAUAAUUUUGCAUAUAUUUUUAACCAUUUAAAGAUAUUUACACUAAAAGUCCGCAACUAGAAGGUGCUUUAAAGAUAUUUACAAGUUAACAUCACUGUCUGGAUGGUACUUUUCAACAGACAAGCAAAUUCUGUUCAAUUGGUGAUUGAUGAAACUUCUUUUCCCUGUUUGGUAUGGUGUUAAACUUCGCUGUCCCUUUCCACUUUAUGCGAUAGCAUGCUCCAAAGCAAGUAGUCUUCCCUGGUAGUAACCUUGUAAAUUUGCAGAUUAGCUUUUUUCCGCAAAGCGUACCAAUCCUACCCUCCUUUCCACUGUCUUUAGCUAAUGAACUCUCAUUCUCUGUGCUUAAACCUACUCAAAAAGAGAAAGGAAGCAAGGGUGUGAAUGGAAACGGUAGGAUUUGUUGUCAAUCUUUUAUCCUAUGAAAUGGCAGCAUUAAACAAUUGCAUGAAUUUCAGAUUUUAGAAACCUUGGUUGUUUCUAGUAUCACAAGUGGAAUUUAGGACUGACUUGAUCUAUGGUUUCGCUAUCCUCUUAAAUUUGAACCACUUUAUGCAUGUAUGAUAGAUAAGGUAAACCUGUGGAUAUAUCUUUAUAAUAAUAUUAUACAAGUUUCAUUAAUAUGCGAGGGAUGUACUUUGUUACUUCAUCACCAGGCUGUCUACCAGAGAAAUGGCAAUCUAUUCUUCCGUACGACUGUUCAGAAAGCAACAGCAUCAGAACAAAAACAAGUGGACAUGGUCAAAUCUAAGCUACAAAUAUUAAGCUCCUCAUGAGGUCAUCAAGAUUCCUUCAGUUUGAGAGGCGGCGAAGAGGUAAAACCAACUCUUUGCCGUGGAGCGUGUAAAUCUAUCUUUGCUGUUAAUGCUAUGCAAUCUGGGAGCUUUACAUACCUGUUGGAGUUGGAAUUAUCGGUGUGUUUUGACUUCAAAAUUUUUUGGAAGAUGUUUUGAAAUGAAGAUUACAUAAUGAAAGGUGUUACAAUCUGGCAUUUCAAUUGGCAACAUGAGAUUACGAACUUGUGUAAAAUUUAACCGUCAGAUUUUCUAGUUUAUACAAAAAGAGUGGCCACUUACCUCA